AAGAUUGUGUCAAGGAAGUCAAAACUGAAACGCAAGAGAACAAACUUCCAAACCAAUAAUUAAACCUAACCCCCGCACAAUUCUUUGGUUCAUUUCAACAAACACAUACUAUGCUCUCAAUCCCAUCAUUCAUGAGCAUCGCCUCCCUGUACGAAAUCUACCUCCGCCGCUGCUUCACGGCGGCAGGCCUCUUGUCUCAGUCAAUCGCGGUGGACGACGAAACCACGAUCCACUUCUGGGGCCCCACUACCAAAUCCCCAAACAAGGCAUGCCUUGUUCUCAUACACGGGUUCGGCCCCAUGGCCAUAUGGCAAUGGCGGAAACAAGUGCAGUUCUUCGCGCCUCACUUCAACGUGUACGUGCCGGACCUGGUGUUCUUCGGAGGGUCCACGACGAGGAGCAGUGAGAGGAGCGAGAAGUUUCAGGCGGCGGCGGUGGUGAAGCUGGUGGAGAAAGUGGUGGUGGCGGAUGAGGAGAGUAAGAAGAAGAAGGUGCACGUGAUAGGCACGAGCUACGGGGGAUUUGUGGCGUACCAAGUGGCAAGGAUGAUGGGGGUGGAGAGAGUGGGCAAAGUGGUAAUUGCAAGCUCGGGAGUGAAUAUGAGGAAGAGGGAUAACUUGGCGCUUUUGGAGAGGGCGGGACUUGAGAGAAUUGAGGACCUCAUGAUGCCAGCUAAGCCUCAACAUUUCCGAAAAUUGAUGGCUUUGUCUCUCUCUAGGCGUCUCCAUUAUCUACCUGAUUUCUUCCUCGCUGACUUCAUCAAUGUAAGUUCACCCUUUACCCUUUUUCUUUUCAUCAAAGCUUAUUUGCACGGCUACACCUAAAGCUAAGGAAUUUGUGAAUUGAUCGUUUACAUUAGUAGCCAUUCAUCAAACUCUUUUGAUAGUUACAUAAUGAUUGAAAAUUAUUAGAAUACUUUUACAAUAAAUUUUACAAGAUAUGUUCUUGUUAGCCGGCGAGAUGAGUAUUUAAGUAUUGAGGAAUGUUAGGAUGAGUAACUUUUGUGUUUUGUAACCAUUAAUUGAUUAUUAAUAAUAUUUUUAACAGUAUAAGAUUACAUUUAAUAGUAAAAAAUCACUUACUUUUUUUUUUGAUGGUUAAGUAUUAGUCAUAAAAUACAAAAGUUGCUGACGUUUAAACUUUCUCUUUAAGUAUUCCUUUUGAAUAUUUAUACAUUAUUUAUAGUAUCCUAAUUUUUAUCUCAUAUUCAAAUCUAAGGGUAUAUAUAUCUCUGUCCCAUAUCCAUCUCACCUGGUUCAUCUAAUUGAUUUCUAAGUUUUUUCUUUAAAAAAUUAAAGCUUAUAAUAUGAAGAUAAACAAAUUGAACAUAACUAAUCAAUAAAAUUAAUUAAAUAAAUAAGUCACAUAUAGCAUAAUUAAAUACAAAGAUAAUUUUAAAUGGUUCACAACAAUAUAUAACACAUAAAAAUACAAAGCAACUACUUUAAUGAAUGAAAAUGCUAAAAAUAUUUUUUUAUGAUAAUUUUUGUUUAAAAAAUAUAACUUAUUUGCCAUAUUUUAUUCAUCGUCGUGGAAUCAAUAAAUGUUACAUCAUCCAUCUACCUUUUUAUUUGACAAAAACUUUCCAUGUGAAGAAGAAAAAGAGAAUGACAUAGGAAAAUUCGUACAUAGCGUGUAUACCUGGCCUUUUCGAUUCCAUUCUCUAAUUACAAGUUUACAACACUGUCACAUGUAUGUAUGUGUGCGUAAUUCUGUUUAAGAGACCACUAAUUCAAUUCGAAUUUUAGAUAGAAUAUUGAGAGAGAGAAAUUUGUUUCUAAUCACAGGAAAUUAAUUAAAGCAGCAUGAUUAUUCAUUCUCUUUGCAAUGGAAAGUUUAUUUUAAUUUUUAACCAAACAGAACCUUUAUGAACUUCUCCUAACAGCAUUUAUUAUUAUAAGUCACACCUCACCGAAGAAGAAAAAAGAUUGUGUCAAGGAAGUCAAAACUGAAACGCAAGAGAACAAACUUCCAAACCAAUAAUUAAACCUAACCCCCGCACAAUUCUUUGGUUCAUUUCAACAAACACAUACUAUGCUCUCAAUCCCAUCAUUCAUGAGCAUCGCCUCCCUGUACGAAAUCUACCUCCGCCGCUGCUUCACGGCGGCAGGCCUCUUGUCUCAGUCAAUCGCGGUGGACGACGAAACCACGAUCCACUUCUGGGGCCCCACUACCAAAUCCCCAAACAAGGCAUGCCUUGUUCUCAUACACGGGUUCGGCCCCAUGGCCAUAU
RNAcentral lists this long non-coding RNA (2233 nucleotides) under Arachis ipaensis. Its description in RNAcentral is "long non-coding RNA (AIPA_LNC002531)". Lineage: Eukaryota; Viridiplantae; Streptophyta; Magnoliopsida; Fabales; Fabaceae. The record is from RNAcentral.